GACGAACGCUGGCGGCGUGCUUAACACAUGCAAGUCGAACGGAAAGGCCCUGCUUUUGUGGGGUGCUCGAGUGGCGAACGGGUGAGUAACACGUGAGUAACCUGCCCUUGACUUUGGGAUAACUUUAGGAAACUGGGGCUAAUAUCGGAUAGGAGCUCCUGCUGCAUGGUGGGGGUUGGAAAGUUUCGGCGGUUGGGGAUGGACUCGCGGCUUCUGAGCUUGUUGGGGGGGUAGUGGCUGACCAAGGCUUGGAAGGGUAGCCGGCCUGAGAGGGUGACCGGCCACAUUGGGACUGAGAUACGGCCCAGACUCCUACGGGAGGCAGCAGUGGGGAGUAUUGCACAAUGGGCGGAAGCCUGAUGCAGCAACGCCGCGUGGGGGAAGACGUCCUUCGGGUUGUAAACCGCUGUCGCCUGUGACAAAGCGUGAGUGACGGUAAUGGGUAAAGAAGCACCGGCUAACUACGUG
This 468-nucleotide ribosomal RNA is filed under the name uncultured bacterium. RNAcentral's name for it is "partial 16S ribosomal RNA". It matches the Rfam family "Bacterial small subunit ribosomal RNA", at positions 28 to 507 of the family's 1533-position model. The record is from RNAcentral.